Molecule: long non-coding RNA, 221 nt
Filed under: Anas platyrhynchos platyrhynchos (common mallard)
Lineage: Eukaryota; Metazoa; Chordata; Aves; Anseriformes; Anatidae
Description: lncRNA (ENSAPLG00000027295.1)
Source: RNAcentral
GAAUAUGACAAAGGAAAAUGGAAACUCCCAGUAACCACUUCAAAAAUGAGCUAGAAUUUUCUGAGCUCUCAGUUGGGUUGAAAGCAUCUGUCCGGGUACCAACCAGAGCCACCGGCCCACUUGUGCAGGGGCGGAGGUGCGAGGCUGAGGCUGCAGUGGCCCCUAGCGGGGGAGGCUUUGUCAUCGCGGAGCCUCUGUCGCAGGGGCUGUGCACAGCUUCU